RNAcentral lists this ribosomal RNA (884 nucleotides) under uncultured Candidatus Poseidoniales archaeon. RNAcentral describes it as "SSU rRNA". It matches the Rfam family "Archaeal small subunit ribosomal RNA", at positions 11 to 904 of the family's 1478-position model. The record is from RNAcentral. Lineage: Archaea; Methanobacteriati; Thermoplasmatota; Candidatus Poseidoniia; Candidatus Poseidoniales.
AUCCCGCCGGAGGCGACCGCUGUGGAGUCCGAUUAAGCCAUGCGAGUCGAGAGAAUAAGAUUCUCGGCAUACCGCUCAGUAACACGUGGAUAACUGCCUGUGCUGGGGGAUAACCUCGCGAAAGUGAGAACAAUACCCCAUGGGUCACUAUGCCUGGAACGGUUAGUGGCUGAAAGCUCCGGCGGCACAGGAUGGGUCUGCGGCGUAUCAGGUCGUAGGGGGUGUAACGUACCUCCUAGCCUUCGACGCGUACGGGUUGUGAGAGCAAUUGCCCGGAGAUGGAUUCUGAGACACGAAUCCAGGCCCUACGGGGCGCAGCAGGCGCGAAAACUUGACAAUGCGAGAAAUCGUGAUCAGGGGACUCCAGUUGGCUGGAUCAAAAGUCCAGUCUGAACCGACUUUAAAUCGGUCGGGUAAUAGGGGCGGGAAAGACCGGUGCCAGCCGCCGCGGUAAUACCGGCGCCCCAAGUGGUCGUCACUAUUAUUGGGCCUAAAACGUCCGUAGCCGGUUUGGUAAAUCCGUGGGUAAAUCAGACAGCCCAACUGUCUGAAUUCUGCGGGGACUGCCGGACUUGAGACCGGGAGAGGUGCGGGGUACUUGCGGGGUACCGGUAAAAUGGGAUCAUCCCGUAGAGACCACCUGUUGCGAAGGCGCCGCACUAGAACGGAUCUGACGGUCAGGGACGAAGCCUAGGGGCACGAACCGGAUUAGAUACCCGGGUAGUCCUAGGUGUAAACGCUGUGGACUUGGUGUCGGGGACCUUCUGAGGGUUUCCGGUGCCGGAGUGAAGGUGAUAAGUCCACUGCCUGGGGAGUACGGUCGCAAGUAUGAAACUUAAAGGAAUUGGCGGGGGAGCACCACAAGGGGUGAAGCCUGCGGUUCA